UGAGCAAUCUGCCCUUCACAUCGGAAUAACCAUUGGAAACGAUGGCUAAUACCGAAUAUGACUUCGGAUCGCAUGAUCUGAAGUGGAAAGCUCCGGCGGUGAAGGAUGAGCUCGCGGCCUAUCAGCUUGUUGGUGAGGUAAUAGCUCACCAAGGCGAUGGACGGGUAGCCGGCCUGAGAGGGUGACCGGCCACACGUGGGACUGAAACACGGCCCAGACUCCG
Molecule: ribosomal RNA, 223 nt
Filed under: uncultured bacterium
Lineage: Bacteria
Description: partial 16S ribosomal RNA
Rfam family: Bacterial small subunit ribosomal RNA
Source: RNAcentral